UACGUAGGUGGCGAGCGUUGUCCGGAUUUACUGGGCGUAAAGGGCGCGUAGGCGGACGGUCAAGUCGGGGGUGAAAUCUUUCAGCUUAACUGGAAAAGUGCCUCCGAUACUGAUCGUCUCGAGGGAGGUAGGGGCAUGUGGAACUUCCGGUGGAGCGGUGAAAUGCGUAGAUAUCUGGAGGAACACCGGUGGCGAAGGCGGCAUCCUGGACCAAUUCUGACGCUGAGGAGCGAAAGCCAGGGGAGCAAACGGG
This 253-nucleotide ribosomal RNA is filed under the name uncultured bacterium. RNAcentral's name for it is "partial 16S ribosomal RNA". It matches the Rfam family "Bacterial small subunit ribosomal RNA", at positions 524 to 776 of the family's 1533-position model. The record is from RNAcentral.